CCUACGGGAGGCAGCAGUCGAGAAUCAUUCACAAUGGGGGAAACCCUGAUGGGGCGACGCCGCGUGGGGGAAUGAAGGUCUGCGGAUUGUAAACCCCUGUCAUGUGGGAGCAAAUUAAAAAGAUAGUACCACAAGAGGAAGAGACGGCUAACUCUGUGCCAGCAGCCGCGGUAAUACAGAGGGCUCAAGCGUUGUUCGGAAUCACUGGGCGUACCGCGUGCGUAGGCGGUUUCGUAAGUCGUGUGUGAAAGGCGCGGGCUCAACCCGCGGACGGCACAUGAUACUGCGAGACUAGAGUAGUGGAGUGGGAACCGGAAUUCUCGGUGUAGCCGU
RNAcentral lists this ribosomal RNA (333 nucleotides) under uncultured bacterium. Its description in RNAcentral is "partial 16S ribosomal RNA". It matches the Rfam family "Bacterial small subunit ribosomal RNA", at positions 338 to 682 of the family's 1533-position model. The record is from RNAcentral.